This 8491-nucleotide long non-coding RNA is filed under the name Ooceraea biroi (clonal raider ant). RNAcentral describes it as "uncharacterized LOC105283836, transcript variant X3". Lineage: Eukaryota; Metazoa; Arthropoda; Insecta; Hymenoptera; Formicidae. The record is from RNAcentral.
GCGCAUAAAAUAUUACGAGAAAGGUUUCGUUUGUUGCACAUUUAAGCGCUUCAUAAAAAAAGAGACAGCAAUCAGUCACGUUUCGUGUCACGUACUACUAUAGCUAUAACGCGUGCGCGUUGCUACUAUAGCUUACGCAAUAUGCGAAUUUGUAGCUGUACACACACGUUCAUCUAUUUGCGCAGGACUUCGCAUUACGUAUAAUAUGUAACGCAUUUUCCCUGACGCGCGCUUUGUUGCACAUAUACCCAUUUUCGACGCGCGAGCGAAUAUGUAGAACCCGAAACAGCUAUUAAAUACAAUCCGAUCAAAUUAAUCACCCUGCCGGUCACACCAUUACCGAAUGAAUAUGACGAGGAACUUUGGUAUUAAUUCGGUAUUAAUUCGAGUUAAUGCAGGACAAAACCGUGGAAAUUGCGUACUUUGAAAAAAAUUGCUCUUUACCGAAGUGUAAUAUAUUGCUUGAUGAUGCGAUGAAAUGCUUGGAAGAACAAAAAAAGAGUACAUCUUAGUAAAUAGAUUUUAAUAAAUUUUACCAGAGCGACCGUAUAAACGAGAGUGACAAAACGUUACUGACUUUUGAAUGGAUUUACUUUCAAUUGAACUAUAAUCUAUCAAUAGUUACGAUACGUUAUGAUCAGCCGCGUCUCCAAUAAAGCUAUAUCGAGCGCAAUAACGAACGCGUAAUAGUUGGGCAGGAUCCUAGCUGCCAGGCAAUUUCGAUAUUAAUAUGGACCGGCUGUACGCGUGUACGCUGUGCAAACCCCUGGUACCGCCCUACGUGUCGUAUAAUCAAUGCCAUGUAGUAGGUAGCCAGGUAGUUUCAAACUUUAUGCCGCUGUAAACAGCCAUCUUACAGGUAUCGCAUAAGUAGGUCCGUGCACGUAUGAUAUCGCACGGAAAGCGAAUGUAAUACGAGGGAAACUUGCAAAACGCCGGACUAAGUUCAUCAGCGCCAAAUGCCGGAUAUAAUAUUUGGAGAAGAACACCGUAUGUGCGCGACCACCACGGUACGUUACACAGUACGCGUGAAUAUGUAUGUUCAUUGCACAUUCGCGGUUAAUGAUACGUCCAACAGCGUCCAUUGACACGCGCCUUACGAACGAUCGCUCAACAUUAAUUGUCGGCACAAUACGAGUUUCCACUUUGUUAAUGGAUAUUCGAUCAUCGAAAGAGACUUGAUUGAAUAGAAAUUUCCAUCAGACAGGCAGAAGGGUAUAUAUUCUUGUUAAGAGUACUUAUAUAUUCAUAUUGCAUCAUAUCCAUUUUAAUUACAAUUAUGAAUUUCGCCAAGAUGCAAGAACAUUGUUUUAAUAUUGAACACGCUAAAGGAUCCUUAAUGAAUGAAGCUGCAAAAGUGUAAUUAAAGGAGCGGAAGUUGAUUUUUUUAAAUGCUUAAAAUGAGCUUUGCUCUAAUUGAAAUUUAAUCGGGAAACUAAUUAUCAAGACGACCGGAAAUUGAAAUGCCCGCUGAAAGAAAAAGUGAACUUCGCUGGCUUGAAUAAUCAAUUAGCUGCUUUUUACGGCAGGUUUCGUACGUUUCGCACAGCAACGAAAAACUUGAUUGCACACAAGGCUUCCUAUAUUUUAAUAGUCGAUACUAUGCCUGCCAGAAAAACGCUUUGCGAUCGGAAAAUUCACGUGGCCUCGAAUCGAAGAUCGUCCAUGUGCUUUCGAUCCUUACAUCGUGCAUGCAUUUACAUUAUAAUACAAAUCAAGCAAAAAAGAAAUUUUCUGUUAAAUAUGUCGAUCACACAGUAAUAACGAGUCGUCCAAAGCUAUCGUCAUCUUGUUUCACUGAAUUUGUCCCGCAUGUCGUUAAUUAACGUGUCCGUCAACGAACCAAAUUAUUAGAGAGGACGACACACUGGUUUGAAUCACAAAAUUUAUGCGUACUUGUUUUCCUCUCUUUGUCAUUCACUUCCCCUCGCAUACUAUAAUCCUCUUCCAUUUGUCCAAAUGCAUUUUUUCUUUUCUUGAAAUAUAACAUCGGCCAAAGCGGAUUAGGUAAUGGAGAAACACGUGGUGUACGCGCACACGUGCAGGAACUUUAAACUCUAGCGCGACCACAUACGGUGCGCGAUUCGCAAAGCUACCCCAUUAAGACCCUAUAAGAAACGAGAGGAAUGACAAUACAUCUCGAUAAGAGCUGCAUAUGGAUAAGAAAUUAGCUUCAACUUCGUCUUGCUCCAUCGGAGCCUAUAAAACGUAACGUGACAACAACAACAAAAUGGAAAUAUUCUUAAGAAUAAAGUUUUGAUUAAGCAAAAUGAAGGAAAAAGUAAAAUUAAACAAGAAGUAAAACUUCAUUACGCGCUUCCAUGUACUACUCGCCAAUAUUCCAUCGUUUUUUAUCCCCGCUUCCUUUCAUCUUCGAUUGCAAAAUUACGAUUGAUGAAAGAACCGGCGAGGCUGAAAGGUGCGGAGUGACGAGUUCUAGCGUUUUCUAUAGGUGAUGUCACGGAUCUCGUUAACGAGAGUAGCCAACGGUGACAAGAGUAGAUACAGUAACGGGAGUAACCACGGUAACGAGAAUAGGCGGGAAUUGUAACGAUCCGGGUAAGUUAAAGGGGAAGAGCGCGAUGCGCGCGUGUAUGCACUGUAUUUUCCGGGAUGAAAGAGCACGUCGGCGUGCAAAUAAUCGCAAAGCGGCCGUGUUUGAUGGCCGAUCUCGUGCUUGGAGAACGACGCCUCCCUGAAGGAGGCAGUUGCGCCCACUCGGGAUUACACUUCCGGCAGUGACUGCGAAAAAUAAGGCGGACAGGUAAGCUCCCGGAAAUACCAAAUAGACUGUGUCAAUAUCUGCGUAUGCGAUGCACGUACUCUGCCGCGGGAAACGGGCACCAGCCGGAGAAGCAUCGGCAGCGAGCGAGAAAUUUUCAAGCGUGUUAUGUUUUACUAAGGGCUAUUUGUGUAUUUUAUCCAAAUAUGCGCGUGUGUACACAUCGUGCGCGUGUAUGGGCAGCAAGAGAGUGAAAAAGAAGCGAUUCCGGGUGAGUCGCCAUCGGGAAUUUUGAUAUCCCGUCGUCCGCGAGCUUCGCGGUGCUGUAUCCCUUUAUACCGCGUAUGACAUUUUCAUAAUUUUCCAGCGGAUGAAUACGGUGAAAUUUUAAAAAGAACUAAUCCCUUUGAAAAGUCAAAAUAAAAUAUUCAAAUAAAAUUAUAAAGCUCUUUGCGAAAUAAUGUACAGAGGCCGAAACCUAACGCAUUUUAUGGCUUGGAGUGUUGCACAACGCGCAAUCAAAUUCACAUCAAGGAACUGUGUGCAUGUGUUAUUAAACAUUUUUACAUUUUACUCACAAUCAGACGUAUCUCGUAUCGUAUUCGCGCAUUACAGUCGUAUUUACUGUUGUAAUUGUGUCAUCAAUUAUCUCGUUCUCUCUCAAUCAAAUUUUAUAAAGAGAAGAUUACGAUAAUUUGUAAAAAAUAACGGUGAAUUAGACUUAGUUAAAAAGUGGACGCGGUACGUGGCUUUGACGAAAAAUAUUUCUUCGCCAAGACGCACGGCUGUCGUCGUUACGGGGCACGAGCGCGAACACGCGCGUUAUCACGAUCAUUUUGGCGGCGAUAACGCAAUUCCAUGGUAUGCGAGGCUGCCGCACGUUCCGUGUAAUUGAGCUGUGCCGCCAGUCGUUUGAGAGGCACCGCAUUCCCGUCGGGUUAUUCUUCGGAAUAACACGUCCCUAAACGUCGCGUGUCGAGCUAUCUAAAUCUGCGAUUCCGCCAGGAAACCCACCCCGGCGCGCGAGGGUGAGCUCUGCGUGGAGCGUUGUAUUGCGCGCAUUACCAGCCGAGUGGAAGAGUUCUCGAUUACAUUCAGCAAUCUUCUAUCGAAUGCGUGUAUGCGCGUGUUCAAUUCGCGUGAUACUUCCGAUACCAAUCGAUUCAAAAUUAAACGUCCUGUGGAAACGAUAUGAAUAACAGCUUUGUUUGAAAUAUCGUGACAUAUCGUAAUUGUUUAAUACUAAUAUCAACAAAGAGCUGUAAAUGGACAAGAGAAAGAGAGAAAGAGAGGGAGACUAUGUGGGAUUUACGCAGACCUUGCUGUUCGUUUGGAAACGCAAUAUUAUCACAGUGUGCGUUUGUACAAAGCAUUAUACGCCGAACUUCGAACAGAUGAGAGAAGCUUUCUCCGAUUUAGAUUGGCAUAUCAUUAGCACUACAUGUAUUGUAAUUGAAAACACUUACCCUCGAUAGCGGGAUGGCGCGGCUUGUACGACAUGUCUGGAAAGAGAAAAGGUUAGUGCUGCGAGACGCAUGGAAAUAUAAAUGAACAAAACGUUUAUACAGCCUGCGUUUAAGGAUGAUACAAGCGCAACAUCGUUCUUUAGAUCCAGAAACUAUAAUCUGUGGAGAAAUAAUUCUUGGCCCAUGAAACCCCUUUAAUGAAGAGGUAUCAUGCAGCUGUUGUGAUGUCGAAAAUAAUUACAAGUUUCCAUAUGAAUUUCGAGAGAUCCGCGAAAAACAGAUAACCGAACGGCGAACGUGCAUUAUGAAAGGAACGUGAGAUCAGUGACGCAUUGUCUGUAUGUCGCCGCAGGAUGGGAAUAACGGGAGGAAAUAACUAAAAUUUUUCGAAACAGAAUAUUAAUUCCCCGCUUUUUUAUUAUCGUACGUAUUCUAAACAAAAUUCCGCACGCGGUGAGCGAAUGCAUAUUGCGAGCGAAAGAAAAAGAAAUGCGACAGCUCCACGUUAAAAUCCAGACGCUUAUUCUUCAAAAAAUUCGACUUUUCCUUUGAUAUUUAAAUCUGCGGCGUGAUGUGCGGCUUGCAUUGCAGCGCAGACGUGAUAAAUUUCAGAUACAAUUAAAUUAUGAAUACAUCACUGAGGCAAGUCUCAAAAAGAAUUCCAUAUUAAUUGCGAACGCGUUUUUUGUACAUGAAUCACCGCUGUUUUACGAACAAAUAGUACAAAAAGAAUUCGAGCUGGAUCUCGUCGGACCGUCCGCAAAGAAUACGCAAACGGCGACAGAAUCGAGCUCCGCGUCGCAAACCAAUCAACGUAGCAACGUAUUGAAACGCGCGAUGCGAAUAGCAGAGUGUUAAGGGCGUGCGCGAGUCGGGGGUGCCAUAAAUUUCCAAAUUGGACAUUCGGAAGAGAGCACGGCCAUGUCGGCCAGGACAUCGCUCAAGAUUGCAUAUAUGGUCUUCCAUGUAUACGUAUAUACUGCUGCAGUUCCAGCCACGCGGCGCUGCCAAACCGUCGAUAUGUAUGCAGGUCGACUCUAUGAGAAUUUGUGUACGCCGAUAUCGCACCGAUAUUCCCCCUUUCCGCGGGUGAGACGAGAUACGCCGGGAUGCUGCUGGGUUCGACGCACACGAGAAACACAUGUCGGCCGCUCACACAGGCUGCGAAGGAUCACACACGCCGACUGGCUUGCGAGACGCACAUUCGCAUGUGCGUGCAUACGUAAGAAUGAUCUAUCAAUGGGACAUCAGAGCCUAACCGGAUAUCGACUCGGCGACAGAUAACAUCAAGACAAAAGGAAACAACACAGUUAAAUAAACCUGUUAAAUGACCAUGUUACGGAUUUGUGCACGGAACUUUGCAGAAACGGAAGGCAUACCGGAAGAUUGUAGAAAUCGAUGUUAUGCUCACUCGCGGUUUUGAUAGAGCGCAUUGGAUCCCAGGAAAAUUGUAGGACAGCAAAUAACGAUAAAGAAACAAGAGAAAGAAGUAGAAAGAGAAUAUGGUAACGGUAGAAUUUAUAAGGCAUCAUAUAUGUGGAAAAAGAAAAACCUUAAUUUAUAUUAUGCAUGUAUCAAUUAAAAAUUUCUGCUUUUGUUGAAAUUUGAUUAUUUCCCUUUGCAAAUGUGCGAGAUAAGGUAUAAAUAAAUGUGUUCAGUAUUUCAAUAAACAAAAGAAAAUGUAUAUAUAUAUAUAUAUAAUUACGAAAAAUAUGUAACAAUACAUUCAAACAGUUUCAAAUAAUUAUAUAUCAAUCACAUACAAAUAAGCAAGAAAAUAUACGUGUGAAUCUCAAAGUCACAAGAAAAGAAAAUACAAAAAUAGCCAAUGCUUUGUUCAAGCAAAGAAUCUCAUAAAUCAAAUUAAAGAAAAAUUUCUACUCAUCCGAUUGAUUCCGUGACUUCCAGAUAUCAGUCGCCUUUUUCGUUUUUCAGAUCUGUGCACAAAUCCGCCUUAAUUCUAUAUCGGUAAACUAUCCGCCAGUAACUAUCCGCCAGUGGAUCCACUUAUUUGUUCGCUCGCUACAACGGUCGCGUGAGAAAAGGGUCGAAUACAUCGUUACGCGUCUCGUCGUGCCGAUAUUUGUCUAUCGAUAUUUGAUGCCCGAAUCUUCCCGAGACAAUUGGGCAGAAUUAGCGCGAAGUUUAAACUAGUUUUCUCAACAGCUUUUAUGCAUAAGACGCAACAUAUAUAUUUUCUUGAUACAUUUGGAUAACACUUCGAGUCCAACUAUAUUUUAAUUAUAUAAUUAUAUAAUACAACGUACAACUAUUAUGCAAAACGCAAGAGGAAAUGAAAUAGAGUAUUUGAAAUCUGAGGACAAUCAAAGCGAGAUACUUUAACGUGCGCAAUAUAUUAUUCGGCGAUAUCGCACGCGGUUAAAUUUAAGCGUACGUAAAUAUUCGAUGCACGCAUGAUAACGUACAUUUUAGAACGAUUGAACGCGUUGAAGUGCAGUGCGCGUAAUUCGUACGCUUACAUCGCACGCGCGCGCGCUUUAUCGCGAUUCAUGAACAUAAUGUCUCAUAUAUCAGGGCUAUUUUCCGUGGAAGGGUUUCACGCGUGGUGCACGCAGACGCUAUUCCUCAUCGCCCCUUUUUUGCAUUCGACAGCGACGCGAGGGUCGUGAAAUCUCGCCAGAAACGGCGGUGUAGCACUCUCGACUUUCUGUUUCCUCGUCCGAGAGCGAAUGUACAUGGAACAUUGUCUAUCUGCCAAGUAGAUGAAGUCGCUAUGUGGCAUAUACCGAAGAGAAUAUUACACGGAAUGAGAGAACCAUAAUACUACAAAUGAAAUUUUACCCGCCUAGUUUAAGUAAAUUGUACGUAUACAAGCAUGGUCUAGUUCCCUCAAGCCUUAAAAAUAUAAAAAAAUGUUACGAUAAUAAUUUUAAUAAUGCGAUACGUGAUUAUUCAAGUAAAGAAGAAAGAGAAGACUGCACGAUGGACAAUUGUACCAUUAAAAUUAAUCAGACGCUAUUAUUAAAGAGUAAACUGUGUCGUUUUGAAUUAUUUAAGUUGCGCACGACACAAAUGAUGGAAAUAUAUUAUACAUGUAGUUUCGGAUCGAAACAAGAGACUUUACGUAUGUACAUAUUACCACAUUGCCCGAUAAGUCGAUAGCUUGCUGUUGCCAUAAAAAGAUAUUGUAUCGAACGGUGUAUCUUCAUCUACCUACAGUAGUGAUAAACAAUAUGGGUAUAUUUACCCUCUUUCGGUCUAGGAACACUCUUGUGAUAAGGACGCGCCGUAUUUUCUGCAAGUGCACUUUAUUUUGCGUAAACAACGGUAUCUCUUUAUCGCACGUGCUAGUAAAAUGCACGCCAUUCCGUGAAAAUUGUGGAGCGUCGCGCGAUGUAAAUGUAAAUUGCGCUUCACGCGUGCGGGUAAAAAUAUCUUCGUUUACGGAGAUGGCAUUUAGUAUCGCAACAACAGGGACACCGCGUUUAUUUAUUAGCGUGUCCUGCGAAAAAUUUCGCAUUUUUCUAGAGCGACACGUGCGUGCGUGCGCGGAUAUUCGGACGAUCCGAAGGUUCGAUCCGAAAAUUUGACACCUUCGUAGCACAUUCGCAGCGCGGAACGCAGAACGCGAAUUUGUGUUUGUCUGAACCGAGAUUAGCCGCAGCUACAAUGUGUCCGCAACCAACUCGAUCAAUAGAUGCGUGUCAGUCACGUUUCCGCGGCCUCAGUUAGGAGGACGAGGUAGGUCGACGUUCACUAUGUGUCUACGAGCAAUUGGAUCACAGCUGGCUGAUCAAUCCGGUUAUCUUCUUGUCGCGAUAUCAAACCGAUCGUGAGUAUCGCGGAUAUCCGAUACUGUCGAUAUCCGUCGAUACCUAUGAAGGUGAGGUUGCGUUGCAAUCUUGGGAUCGCAAAUCAGUUCGAGAGAGCGGGUUGUUUGAAAGACGUCAUGCGGCCCUUCGUAAUGCCGUUUGCAAUUACUUGUCCCUAAUAACUUUGUUUACAAUUAUGACGCAAACUCUCCCGAUAUCCUGUAUACGAAAUCAUUGAGAAGGAGGUCUGAUUAGCUUUAGUAACGUUUACUGUCAAGGAUCUGUCAUGUGUUUGUGCGCUUUACGAACCUAUCGAACUGUUUGCGUCCAACGUUGCGCGGAUUACGGGAUCGCGAGUCCGCUUCUCGCGGUGCUUCGUAGAUGAAAUGUCACUUUGAUGCAAAAGCCAUGCAUUGUCGACGAAAAGUGGCACGUCAGAUAUGAUCUCUUGAUACUUUACGGUAUUCCAGGCGCGUACAUACACGUGCGAAAAAAUGCAAAAAAAAUAAAAAAUAAAUUUGCGGUGUACA